This 385-nucleotide ribosomal RNA is filed under the name uncultured bacterium. Its description in RNAcentral is "bacterial SSU rRNA". It matches the Rfam family "Bacterial small subunit ribosomal RNA", at positions 29 to 414 of the family's 1533-position model. The record is from RNAcentral.
ACGAACGCUGGCGGCGUGCUUAACACAUGCAAGUCGAGCGGUAAGGCCCUUUCGGGGGUACACGAGCGGCGAACGGGUGAGUAACACGUGGGUGACCUGCCCUCAGCUCUGGGAUAAGCCUGGGAAACCGGGUCUAAUACUGGAUAUGACUCCAUGACGCAUGUUGUGGGGUGGAAAGCCUUGUGCGGCUGAGGAUGGGCCCGCGGCCUAUCAGCUUGGUUGGUGGGGUGANGGCCUACCAAGGCGACGACGGGUAGCCGGCCUGAGAGGGCGACCGGCCACACUGGGACUGAGACACGGCCCGGACUCCUACGGGAGGCAGCAGUGGGGAAUCUUGCGCAAUGGGCGAAAGCCUGACGCAGCGACGCCGCGUGAGGGAUGACGG